UUUGCCUGUUUAUCAAAAACAUGUUUGUUUGAAGGUGUAAAUGGUCUGACCUGCUCACUGAUGAAAUCAUUUAAGAGCCGCGGUAUUCUGACCGUGCAAAGGUAGCAUAAUCAUUAGAGGUUUAAUUGGAAUCUGGAAUGAAGGGUUGGACAAAGGAAAAGCUGUCUUUAUGAUGAAAAUUGAAAUUUACUUUUAAGUGAAAAGGCUUAAAUAUUUCAGGGGGACGAUAAGACCCUAUAAAGCUUUAUAAAUAAUUUAAAUUUAACUAAUUUAGGGAAUAAAAGUUGAGUUUAAUUGUUUUAUUUUGUUGGGGUGAUAUGAGUAUAAUUUUUAUUAACUGCUUAGAAAUGAUUCUAUUAUAGUAGAGUUUAUAAUAAAUGAUCCUUUUUUAAAGAUUAAAAGACUAAGUUACUUUAGGGAUAACAGCGUUAUUUCUUUUGAGAGUUCAUAUCGAAAAAGAAGAUUGCGACCUCGAUGUUGAAUUAAAAUGUCUAUAUGAUGCAGCAGUUAUAGAAGAAGGUCUGUUCGACCUUUAAAUUUUUACAUGAUUUGAGUUCAAACCAGA
RNAcentral lists this ribosomal RNA (565 nucleotides) under Etisus villosus. RNAcentral describes it as "partial 16S ribosomal RNA". It matches the Rfam family "Bacterial large subunit ribosomal RNA", at positions 1795 to 2620 of the family's 2925-position model. Lineage: Eukaryota; Metazoa; Arthropoda; Malacostraca; Decapoda; Xanthidae. The record is from RNAcentral.